RNAcentral lists this long non-coding RNA (12519 nucleotides) under Lathyrus oleraceus (garden pea). Its description in RNAcentral is "Pisum sativum (pea) long non-coding RNA (PSAT_LNC039897)". The record is from RNAcentral. Lineage: Eukaryota; Viridiplantae; Streptophyta; Magnoliopsida; Fabales; Fabaceae.
AAUUAAUUAAAUAUAUACUUGUAUCCUUUAGAACAUAAAAUGUCAUCUUUUAUAUUCUGAUAAUUAAACAAUUACCAUAAGUUAUACAGAUUAAAAAUAAUGCUAAAAUACUAAUUAUAAGUAGAAAAUGAAAAAGAAAAAAAGAAAAUAGAAUAUAACAACAAAUUUAAAAAGUAAUGAGUAACAAACAUUGACAUUAAAUAGUUUAGAAAGAUAUGUAUUGAACAUCAAAAUUAAUUAAAUAUAUACUUAUAUCCUUAAAAACAUAAAAUGUCAUCUUCUAUAUUCUGAUAAUUAAACAAUUAACAUAAGUUAUACAGAUUAAAAAAUAUGCUAAAAUACUAAUUAUAAGUAGAAAAUGAAAAAGAAAAAAAUAAAAUAGAAUAAUUACAAGAAAAUGAAAAAGAAAAAAAGAAAAUAGAAUAAUAACAACAAAUUUAAAAUGAGACCGUAUGGUAUAAAGGAAACCAACUCAAUAAGUUUUCCAGUGUUACACUAGCACCACGUUUAUUAUUGUGAGAUCCUCAUAAUCCUAACAAAAAUCUCAAUCUCAUCAAAACAAUACGAAAAACCCUAUCAUAAUCAUUGGUGAUGCAAGAAUAAAAUUGAAAAUAACAGGAAACACAAAUGAAUACAGUUAAAAAAUAAACAAGUUAGAGAUGUAUAACCUUCAAAAUAUUAACCUAUAUCAGAAAUCACUUGAUCCGUACAUUUGAUAGGUAAGAAAGAAAAUUACUCAUAAAAGAUAGGAAAAAAAAGGAAAAUAUGACCAUUUUUCAGCAGUACUUUUUUUUUACCCAUUGUAUUUUGUUUAUACAAUCAUAAAGUGAUUAUGAACCAAAGAUUUCUAUUAAUUAAUGUAAGCUAAAUAUUUCCAUUAAGUACAUCCUCAAUUAUAUAAAUCAAUAAAACAUGUAAUGAUUAACAAACAUUGGCAUUAAAUAGUUUAGAAAGAUAUGUAUUGAACAUCAAAAUUAAUUAAAUAUAUACUUAUAUCCUUAAGAACAUAAAAUGUCAUCUUCUCUAUUCUGAUAAUUAAACAAUUAACAUAAGUUAUACAGAUUAAAAAUAAUGCUAAAAUACUAAUUAUAAGUAGAAAAUGAAAAAGAAAAAAAGAAAAUAGAAUAAUAACAACAAAUUUAAAAUGUAAUGAGUAACAAACAUUGACAUUAAAUAGUUUAGAAAGAUAUGUAUUGAACAUCAAAAUUAAUUAAAUAUAUACUUAUAUCCUUAAGAACAUAAAAUGUCAUCUUCUAUAUUCUGAUAAUUAAACAAUUAACAUAAGUUAUACAGAUUAAAAAAUAUGCUAAAAUACUAAUUAUAAGUAGAAAAUGAAAAAGAAAAAAAGAAAACAGAAUAAUUAUAAGAAAAUGAAAAUGAGAUCGUGUGGUAUAAAGGAAACCAACUCAAUCAUUUUUCCAGUGUUACAUUAGCAUCACCUUUAUUAUUGUGAGAUCCUCAUAAUCCUAACAAACAUCUCAAUCUCAUCAAAACAAUACAAAAAACCCGAUCAUAAUCAUUGGUGAGGCAAGAAUAAAAUUGAAAAUAAGAGGAAACACAGAUGAAUAGAGUGACAAAAUAAACAAGUUAGAGAUGUGUAACCUUCAAAAGAUCAACCUAUAUCAGAAAUCACUUGAUCUGUACAUUUGAUAGAUAAGAAAGAAAAUUACUCAUAAAAGAUAGAAAAAAAAGGAAAAUAUGACAAUUUUUCAGCAGUACAUAUUUUUUUACCCUUUGUAUUUUGUUUAUACAAUCAUAAAGUGAUUAUGAACCAGAGAUUUCUAUUAAAUAAUGUAAGCUAAAUAUUUCUAUUAAGUACAUCCUCAAUUAUAUAAAUCAAUCAAACAUGUAAUGAGUAACAAACCUUGACAUUAAAUAGUUUAGAAAGAUAUGUAUUGAACAUCAAAAUUAAUUAAAUAUAUACUUAUAUCCUUAAGAACAUAAAAUGUCAUCUUCUAUAUUCUGAUAAUUAAACAAUUAACAUAAGUUAUACAGAUUAAAAAAUAUGCUAAAAUACUAAUUAUAAGUAGAAAAUGAAAAAGAAAAAAAGAAAAUAGAAUAAUUACAAGAAAAUGAAAAAGAAAAAAAACAAAAUAGAAUAACUACAAGAAAUUUAAAAUGAGACCGUAUGGUAUAAAGGAAACCAACUCAAUCAGUUUUCCAGUGUUACACUAGCACCACGUUUAUUAUUGUGAGAUCCUCAUAAUCCUAACAAAAAUUUCAAUCUCAUCAAAACAAUACGAAAAACCCUAUCAUAAUCAUUGGUGAUGCAAGAAUAAAAUUGAAAAUAACAGGAAACACAAAUGAAUAGAGUUAAAAAAAUAAACAAGUUAGAGAUGUAUAACCUUCAAAAUAUUAACCUAUAUCAUAAAUCACUUGAUCCAUACAUUUGAUAGAUAAGAAAGAAAAUUACUCAUAAAAGAUAGGAAAAAAAAGGAAAAUAUGACCAUUUUUCAGCAGUACGUAUUUUUUUACCCAUUGUAUUUUGUUUAUACAAUCAUAAAGUGAUUAUGAACCAAAGAUUUCUAUUAAUUAAUGAAAGCUAAAUAUUUCCAUUAAGUACAUCCCCAAUUAUAUAAAUCAAUAAAACAUGUAAUGAGUAAAAAUCAUUGGCAUUAAAUAGUUUAGAAAGAUAUGUAUUGAACAUCAAAGUUAAUUAAAUAUAUACUUAUAUCCUUAAGAACAUAAAAUGUCAUCUUCUAUAUUCUGAUAAUUAAAAAAUUAACAUCAGUUAUACAGAUUAAAAAAUAUGCUAAAAUACAAAAAUUAAGUAGAAAAUGAAAAAGAAAAAAAGAAAAAAGAAUAAUUACAAGAAAAUCAAAAUCUAAAAAAGGAAAUAGUAUAAUUACAAGAAAAUGAAAAUGAGACCGUAUGGUAUAAAGGAAACCAACUCAAUCAGUUUUCCAGUGUUACGCUAGCGCCACCUUUGGUAUAAAGGAAAUCAAUCUUCUAUACGAAAAAUGAAAAUGAAAAUGAGACCGUAUGGUAUAAAGGAAAUCAAUCUUCUAUACGAAAAACCCUAUCAUAAUCAUUGGUGUGCAAGAAUAAAAUUGAAAAUAAGAGGAAACACAAAUGAAUAGAGUGAUAAAAUAAACAAGUUAGAGAUUUGUAAGCUUCAAAAGAUCAACCUAUAUCAGAAACUAAUUGAUCUGUACAUUUGAUAAAUAAGAAAGAAAAUUACUCAUAAAAGAUAGAAAAAAAAGGAAAAUUUGACAAUUUUUCAGCAGUACGUAUUUUUUUACCCAUUGUAUUUUGUUUAUACAAUCAUAAAGCGAUUAUGAACCAGAGAUUUCUAAUAAGUAAGGUAAGGUAAACAUUUUUAUUAAGUACAUCCUCAAUUAUAUAAAUCAAUCAAACAAGUAACGAGUAACAAACAUUGGCAUUAAAUAGUUUAGAAAGAUAUGUAUUGAACAUCAAAAUUAAUUAAAUAUAUACUUAUAUCCUUAAGUACAUAAAAUGUCAUCUCCUAUAUUCUGAUAAUUAAAAAGUUAUCAUAAGUUAUACAGAUUAAAAAAUAUGCUAAAAUACUAAUUAUAAGUAGAAAAUGAAAAAGAAAAAAAGAAAAUAGAAUAAUUACAAGAAAAUGAAGAAGAAAAAAAGAAAAUAGAAAAAUUACAAGAGAAAAAGAAAAAAAGAAAAUAGAAUAAUUACAAGAAAAUGAAGAAGAAAAAAAGAAAAUAGAAAAAUUACAAGAAAAUGAAAAUGAGACAGUAUGUAUUAAAGGAAACCAACUCAAUCAUUUUUCCAGUGUUACAUUAGCACCACCUAUAUUAUUGUGAGAUCCUCAUAAUCCUAGCAAACAUAUCAAUCUCAUCAAAACAAUAUGAAAACCCUAUCAUUAUCAUUGGUGACGCAAGAACAAAAUUGAAAAUAAGAGAAAACACAGAUGAAUAGGGUGACAAAAUAAAAAAGGUAGAGAUGUGUAACCUUCAGAAGAUCGACCUAUCUCAGAAAUCACUUGAUUUGUACAUUUGAUAGAUAAAAAUGAAAAUUACUCAUAAAAGAUAGAAAAAAAAAGAAAAUAUAACAAUUUUUCAGCAGUACGUAUUUUUUUACCCUUUGUAUUUUGUUUAUACAAUCAUAAAGUGAAUACGAACCAGAGAUCUCUAUUAAAUAAUGUAAGCUAAAUAUUUUCAUUAAGUACAUCCCCAAUUAUAUAAAUCAAUCAAACAUGUAAUGAGUAAAAAACAUUGACAUUAAAUAGUUUAGAAAGAUAUGUAUUGAAUAUCAAAAUUAAUUAAAUAUAUACUUAUAUCCUUAAGUACAUAGAAUGUCAUCUUCUAUAUUCUGAUAAUUAAACAAUUAACAUAAGUUAUACAGAUUAAAAAAUAUCUUAGAGUAAUUUUGGAUUGAGUUUCAUGUUCCCUUAUAUAUCAGCAUUUAUUUAGAAUUUAUUUUUAAGUAUAUUUUAAUAUAUUUUCAUACGUCUUAAGUUGAUAAGUAGUGGUGAAUUAUAGAUUAUGGAUUAUUAUAGGUAUUCCUAUAUUACUGGAUGGAUGGUUAAAAAUCUUAAUUAAAUUAGAUUAAAGGUAUGGACAAAGCAUGGACUAACUCCCAAGACAUUGGAAUCUAUUGAAGACUCAGUUGAAGCUGGAACCAAGCAUUUCAAUCAUUGUUGGGGAAAGAAAAGCCGGUAGAGUGAGAUGUUAUGGAAGAACUGUCACACCAUCAUUGUUGAAAAAAAUGAAGAAAUUUCUUUAAUGAAAAUGCAAUGAUGGUAAGAUUUCUGAAUGGUGCAAAGAUGGAAGCAAUGGAGGAACUUUUGAAAAAGCAUGUAUAUGCAACAAAAUCCACAUUUAAGUGAAGAGGAAGUAGAUGAUAAGAUGAGAGAAGCUUUGCACAAUGAUAAUAUUCCAACACCACACUCAUCGCGACAUCAACAUAUGCUCCUACUCUCAUCAAAAGGUACUAUAAUUGACAUUAAUAAAAUCAACAUUAUUUUAUAAGUGUUGAGUUGUUAUUUUAUAGUUGUUUAAUUUUUUAAACAUGCGGUGUUAGUUUUAUAAGUUACUCAUUAAGUUAGUAUAUAUUCAUGCUAGCUAGGUUGAACAUUGUGACAUAUGUUCCAAUGCACAUUUUCAUUAUGUUUUUAAAAAAUUAACAUUGUAUAUUGGUUUGAUGGUAAGAUUCAUGUAUAAAUUGCAUAGAUUCGAGUUUGAUUCUAAGCGUGCAAAGUUCGUUAGUGAGUAAUAUAUAACUAUCAAUUGUUGUGGAUUGAAUCAUUAUUGCAUGGAUGUUGUAGUCAUUGAAGCCUUGCAAUGCCGCUUUGAUUAUUGUAAACUUUGUUAUUGAUAAAUAUAUAAAGAAAUUCUUCAUAUUAAGAGGUUAGAAACAAAGAUGAUCCUGACAAUGAACAAAUGAUGAUCUUCAAGAUGACGAUAAUCUUCAAUAUAAUCAAGAUGAUGAUGAUCUGUCAAUAUGAAUCAAGAGUGAUGAUGAUCUUCAAUAUGAUCAAGAUGAUAAUGAUCUUCAAUAUGAUAGUUUUCAAGAUGAUGAUUCUCCAUGGACCUCAACACAAUGAAUUGAUAAAGACCGCCAUUGAUUUAAAUAUUGACGAUUGUGUUUUGUUUUAUGGAUUUACAUAAAGCCAACUAGCUAUAACUUUUAUGCUGUGAUUUAUUUUGAAAUAUUUUGUAUUUUUUGAAUUUCAAAGAGUUGAUUACACUUCAUCUUAUUAAUACUUUCAUAUUUAAAUAUGUGUUUUCAAUUUAAAAGUGUGUUUCUUCUAAUAAUAUUGAAAAAUAUCUAUUAGAUAAUGUGAAGGUAUAUGAUCAUAAAUGUAUCACCAUAUAAAGGAACAAAAAUCUCUAUCUAAAUUAGUAUCGUUUCAAUCUAGUGCCCACAGGACAAUGUUUAAAUACUAAUAAUGUUUGCUUUUCAAAGUCUUGACGUUAUAUAUAAUUUGAUUGUUUUUUGCAUCUAUAGACAACGGCUUUUUAUGCGUUGCCUUAAUCAAAAACCGUAGUAUAUUCCUUUGUUUUAGCGGCGGUUAUGUGUGUUGUGUAAAUGAAAUUAUAGAUUGAAGCUACGGUUUACAUCUGUUGGUUAUUAAUAACCGUUGCCUUUCACAUGUUUAGGGGACAGUAUUUUAAUGUUGCUGACUUGAAACCGCAGCUUAAAGCAGUUCAACUAAAACCGUGGACUUUGAUAUUUAAGGCGAUGGUGUUCGAGAUCCGUAGGUAGAAUCAAAAAAACCGCCGCUGCUAAAUGGAAUAAGCAAUGGCUGUUAUUCAACGCUUGAUAAAACCGUCCCCUAAGAGCAUUAAAGGCAACGGUUUUAUACCGUUAAUGGGGGGCGUUUUAUUCGUUGUUGCCUAAAAACCCAUGUUUUUGGUUGUAGUGACAUUAAAUAGUUUAGAAAGAUAUGUAUUGCACAUCAAAAUUAAUUAAAUAUAUACUUAUAUCCUUAAGAACAUAAAAUGUCAUCUUCUAUAUUCUGAUAAUUAAACAAUUAACAUAAGUUAUACAGAUUAAAAAAUAUGCUAAAAUACUAAUUAUAAGUUGAAAAUGAAAAAGAAAAAAAGAAAAUAGAAUAAUUACAAGAAAAUGAAAAAGAAAAAAAGAAAAUAGAAUAAUUACAAGAAAAUGAAAAUGAGACUGUAUGUAUUAAAGGAAACCAACUCAAUCAUUUGUUAGGAUUAUUGUGAGAUCCUCAUAAUCCUAACAAACAUCUCAAUCUCAUCAAAACAAUACGAAAACCCUAUCAUAAUCAUUGGUGACGCAAGAAUAAAAUUGAAAAUAAGAGGAAACACAGAUGAAUAGGGUGACAAUAUAAGAAAGGUAGAGAUGUGUAACCUUCAAAAGAUCAACCUAUAUCAGAAAUCACUUGAUUUGUACAUUUGAUAGAUAACAAUGAAAAUUACUCAUAAAAGAUAGAAGAAAAAAAAGAUGACAAUUUUUCAGCAGUACGUAUUUUUUUUACCCUUUGUAUUUUGUUUAUACAAUCAUAAAAUGAAUAUGAACCAGAGAUUUCUAUUAAAUAAUGUAAGCUAAAUAUUUUCAUUAAGUAAAUCCCCAAUUAUAUAAAUCAAUCAAACAUGUAAUGAGUAAAAAACAUUGACAUUAAAUAGUUUAGAAAGAUAUGUAUUGAACAUCAAAAUUAAUUAAAUAUAUACUUAUAUCCUUAAGAACAUAAAAAAUCCCCAAUUAUAUAAAUCAAUCAAACAUGUAAUGAGUAAAAAACAUUGACAUUAAAUAGUUUAGAAAGAUAUGUAUUGAACAUCAAAAUUAAUUAAAUAUAUACUUAUAUCCUUAAGAACAUAAAUUGUCAUCUUCUAUAUUCUGAUAAUUAAAAAAUUCACAUAAGUUAUACAGAUUAAAAAAUAUUCUAAAAUACUAAUUAUAAGUAAAAAAUGAAAAAGAAAAAAAAAAAUAGAAUAAUUACAAGAAAAUGACAAAGAAAAAAAGAAAAUAGAAUAAUAACAACAAAUUUAAAAUGCGACUGUAUUGUAUAAAGGAAACCAACUCAAUCAGUUUUCCAGUGUUACACUAGCACCACCUUUAUUAUUGUGAGAUCCUCAUAAUCCUAACAAGCAUCUCAUUCUUAUCAAAACAAUACGAAAAACCCUAUCAUAAUCAUUGGUGAUGCAAGAAUAAAAUUGAAAAUAAGAGGAAACACAAAUGAAUAGAGUGACAAAAUAAACAAGUUAGAGAUCUGUAACCUUCAAAAGAUCAACCUAUAUCAGAAAUCACUUGAUAUGUACAUUUGAUAGAUGAGAAAGAAAAUUACUCAUAAAAGAUGGAAAAAAAGGAAAAUAUGACAAUUUUUUAGCAUUACGUUUUUUUUACCCUUUGUAUUUGUUUUAUACAAUCAUAAAAUGAAUCAUUUUUCCAGUGUUACAUUAGCACCACCUGUAUUAUUGUGAGAUCCUCAUAAUCCUAACAAACAUCUCAAUAGGGUGACAAAACAAUAUGAAAACCCUAUCAUAAUCAUUGGUGACGCAAGAAUAAAAUUGAAAAUAAGAGGAAACACAGAUGAAUAGGGUGACAAAAUAAAAAAGGUAGAGAUGUGUAACCUUCAAAAGAUCAACCUAUAUCAGAAAUCACUUGAUCUGUACAUUUGAUAGAUAAGAAAGAAAAUUACUCAUAAAAGAUAGAAAAAAAAGGAAAAUAUGACAAUUUUUCAGCAGUACGUAUUUUUUUACCCUUUGUAUUUUGUUUAUACAAUCAUAAAGUGAUUAUGAACCAGAGAUUUCUAUUAAAUAUUGUAAGCUAAAUAUUUAUAUUAAGUAAAUCCUCAAUUAUAUAAAUCAAUCAAACAUUUAUUGAGUAACAAACCUUGACAUUAACUAGUUUAGAAAGAUAUGUAUUGAACAUCAAAAUUAAUUAAAUAUAUACUUAUAUCCUAAAGAACAUAAAAUGUCAUCUUCUAUAUUCUGAUAAUUAAACAAUUAACAUAAGUUAUAUAGAUUAAAAAAUAUGCUAAAAUACUAAUUAUAAGUAGAAAAUGAAAAAGAAAAAAAGAAAAAAGAAUAAUUACAAGAAAAUGAAAAAGAAAAAAUGAAAAUAGAAUAAUUACAAGAAAAUGAAAAUGUGACCGUAUGUUAUAAAGGAAACCAACUCAAUCAUUUUUCCAGUGUUACAUUAGCACCAUCUUUAUUAUUUUGAGAUCCUUAUAAUCCUAACAACCAUCUCAAUCUCAUCAAAAUAAUACGAAAACCCUAUCAUAAUCAUUGGUGACGCAAGAAUAAAAUUGAAAAUAAGAAGAAACACAGAUGAAUAGAGUGACAAAAUGAGAGAGUUAGAGAUGUGUAACCAUCAAAAGAUCAACCUAUAUCAGAAAUCACUUGAUCUGUACAUUUGAUAGAUAAGAAUGAAAAUUACUCAUAAAAGAUAGAAAAAAAAAGAUGACAUAUAUAUAAAUCAUAAAAUGAAUAUGAACCAGAGAUUUCUUUUAAAUAAAGUAAGCUAAAUAUUUUCAUUAAGUACAUCCCCAAUUAUAUAAAUCAAUCAAACAUGUAAUGAGUAAAAAACAUUGACAUUAAAUAAUUUAGAAAGAUAUGUAUUGAACAUGAAAAUUAAUUAAAUAUAUACUUGUAUGCUUAAGAACAUAAAAUGUCAUCUUCUAUAUUCUGAUAAUUAAACAAUUAACAUAAGUUAUACAGAUUAAAAAAUAUGCUAAAAUACUAAUUAUAAGUAGAAAAUGAGAAAGAAAAAAAGAAAAUAGAAUAAUAACAACAAAUUUAAAAUGAGAUCGUAUGGUAUAAGGGUAACCAAUUCAAUCAGUUUUCCAGUGUUACACUAGCACCACCUUUAUUAUUGUAAGAUCCUCAUAAUCCUAACAAACAUCUCAAUCUCAUCAAAACAAUACGAAAAACCCUAUCAUAAUCAUUGGUGAUGCAAGAAUAAAAUUUAAAAUAACAGGAAACACAAAUGAAUAGAGUGACCAAAUAAACAAGUUAGAGAUAUGUAACCUUCAAAAGAUAAACCUAUAUCAAAAAUUACUUGAUCUGUACAUUUGAUAGAUAAGAAAGAAAAUUACUCAUAAAAGAUAGAAAAAAAAAGGAAAAUAUGAAAAAAUUUCUGUUGUACGUUUUAUUUACCCUUUGUAUUUGUUUUAUACAAUCAUAAAGUGAUUAUAAAUCAGAGAUUUCUAUUAAAUAAUGUAAGCUAAAUAUUUUUAUUAAGUACAUCCUCAAUUAUAUAAAUCAAUCAAACAUGUAAUGAGUAACAAACUUUGAGAUUAAAUAGUUUAGAAAGAUAUGUAUUGAACAUCAAAAUUAAUUAAAUAUAUACUUGUAUCCUUAAGAACAUAAAAUGUCAUCUUCUAUAUUCUGAUAAUUAAAGAAUUAACAUAAGUUAUACAGAUUAAAAAAUAUGCUAAAAUAGUAAUUAUAAGUGGAAAAUGAAAAAGAAAAAAAGAAAAUAGAAUAAUUACAAGAAAAUGAAAAAGAAAAAAAGAAAAAAGAAUAAUUACAAGAAAAUGAAAAUGAGACGGUAUGUAAUAAAGGAAACCAACUCAAUCAUUUUUCCAGUGUUACAUUAGCCGUCCCUUUAUUAUUGUGAGAUCCUCAUAAUCAUAACAGACAUCUCAAUCUCAUCAAAACAAUAAGAAAAACUGUAUCAUAAUCAUUGGUGACGCAAGAAUAAAAUUGAAAUAAGAGGAAACACAAAUGAGUAGAGUGACAAAAUAAACAACUUAGAGAUGUGUAACCUUCGAAUGAUCAACCUAUUUCAGAUAUCACUUAAUCUGUACAUUUGAUAUAUAAGAAAGAAAAUUACUUAUAAAAGAUAGAAAAAAUGGAAAAUAUGACAAUUUUUCAGCAGUACGUAUUUUUUUACCCUUUGUAUUUUGUUUAUACAAUCAUAAAGUGAUUAUGAACCAGAGAUUUCUAUUAAAUAAUGUAAUCUAACUAUUUUUAUUAAGUAUAUGCUCAAUUUUAUAAAUCUAUCGAACAUGUAAAGAGUAACAAACAUUCAUUAAAUAGUUUAGAAACAUAAUUAUUGAACAUCAAAAUUAAUUAAAUAUAUACAUAUAUCCUUAAGAACAUAAAACGUCAUCUUCUAUAUUCUUAUAAUUAAACAAUUAACAUAAGUUAUAAAGAUAAACAAAAAUGCUAAUAUACUAAUUAUAAGUAGAAAUGAAAAAGAAAAAAAAGAAAAAAGAAUAAUUACAAGAAAAUGAAAAAGAAAAUAAGAAAAUAGAAUAAUUACAAGAAAAUGAAAAUAAGACCGUAUAAAGGAAACAUACUCAAACAUUUUUCCAGUGUUACACUAGCAUCAGCUUUGUUAUUGUGAGAUCCUCAUAAUCCUAACAAACAUCUCAAUCUCAUCAAAAAGUACGAAACACCCUAUCAUAAUCAUUGGUGACGCAAGAAUAAAAUUAAAAAUAAGAGGAAACACAAAUGAAUAGGGUGACAAAAUAAUAAAGGUAGAGAUGUGUAACCUUCCAAAGAUCAACCUAUAUUAGAAAUCACUUGAUUUGUACAUUUGAUAGAUAAGAAUGAAAAUUACUCAUAAAAGAUAGAAAAAAAGUAAAAUAUGACAAUUUUUUAGCAGGACGUAUUUUUUUAACCUUUGUAUUUUGUUUAUACAAUCAUAAAGUGAAUAUGAACCAGAGAUUUCUAUUAAAUAAUGUAAGCUAAAUAUUUUCAUUAAGUAUAUCCCCAAUUAUAUAAAUAAAUCAAACAUGUAAUGAGUAAAAACAAUUGACUUUAAAUAAUUUAGAGAGAUAUGUAUUGAACAUCAAAAUUAAAUAAAUAUAUACUUAUAUCCUUAAGAACAUAAAAUGUCAUCUUCUAUACUCUAAUAAUUAAACAAUUAAAAUAAGUUAUACAGAUUAAAAUAAACAAGUUAGAGAUCUGUAACCUUCAAAAGACCAACCUAUAUCAGAAAUCACUUGAUAUGUACAUUUGAUAGAUAAGAAAUAAACUUACUCAUAAAAGAUGGAAAAAAAGGAAAAUAUGACAAUUUUUCAGCAGUACAUUUUUUUUACCCUUUGUAUUUGUUUUAUACAAUCAUAAAGUGAUUAUCAAUCAGAGAUUUCUAUUAAAUAAUGUAAGCUAAAUAUUUUUUUUAAGUACAUCCUCAAUUAAAUAAAUCAAUCAAACAUGUAAUGAGUAACAAACUUUGACAUUAAAUAGUUUAGAAAGAUAUGUAUUGAACAUCAAAAUUAAUUAAAUAUAUACUUAUAUCCUUAAGAACAUAAAAUGUCAUCUUCUAUACACUAAUAAUUAAACAAUUAAAAUAAGUUAUACAGAUUAAAAAAUAUGCUAAAAUACUAAUUAUAAGUAGAAAAUGAAAAAGAAAAAAGAAUAACUACAAGAAAAUGAAAAAGAAAAAAAGAAAAUAGAAUAUUUAUAAGAAAAUUAAAAUGAGACACUAUGUAUUAAAGGAAACCAACUCAAGUUAGAGAUGUGUAACCUUCAAAAGAUUAACCUAUAUCAGAAAUCAAUUGUUCCGUACAUUUGAUAGAUAAGAAAUAAAAUUACUCAUAAAAGAUAGAAAAAAAAAGGAAAAUAUGACAAUUUUUCAGCAGUACGUAUUUUUUUACCCUUUGUAUUUUGUUUAUACAAUCAUAAAGUGAUUAUGAACCAGAGAUUUCUAUUAAGUAUUGUAAGCUAAAUAUUUAUAUUAAGUAAAUCCUCAAUUAUAUAAAUCAAUCAAACAUGUAAUGAGUAAUAAACCUUCACAUUAAUUAGUUAAGAAAAAUAUGUAUUGAACAUCAAAAUUAAUUAAAUAUAUACUUAUAUCCUAAACAACAUAAAAUGUCAUCUUCUAUAUUCUAAUAAGUAAACGAUUAACAUAAGUUAUAUAGAUUAAAAAAUAUGCUAAAAUACUAAUUAUAAGGAGAAAGUUAAAAAGAAAAAAAGAAAAAAGAAUAAUUACAAGAAAAUGAAAAAGAAAAAAAGAAAAAAGAAUAAUUACAAGACAAUGAAAAUGCGACCGUAUGUAUUAAAGGAAACCAACCCAAUCAUUUUUCUAGUGUUACAUUAGCACCAACUUUAUUAUUGUGAGAUCCUAAUAAUCCGAACAAACAUCUUAAUCUCAUCAAAACAAUACGAAAAACCCUAUCAUAAU